AACGAACGCUGGCGGCAUGCCUAACACAUGCAAGUCGAACGAGACCUUCGGGUCUAGUGGCGCACGGGUGCGUAACGCGUGGGAAUCUGCCUUUGCUUCGGAAUAACAGUUAGAAAUGACUGCUAAUACCGGAUGAUGUCUUCGGACCAAAGAUUUAUCGGCAAAGGAUGAGCCCGCGUAGGAUUAGGUAGUUGGUGGGUAAAGGCCUACCAAGCGACGAUCCUUAGCUGGUCUGAGAGGAUGAUCAGCCACACUGGGACUGAGACACGGCCCAGACUCCUACGGGAGGCAGCAGUGGGAAUAUUGGACAAUGGGCGCAAGCCUGAUCCAGCAAUGCCGCGUGAGUGAUGAAGGCCUCGGUCGGUUAAGACGUCUUUACCUACGGA
RNAcentral lists this ribosomal RNA (386 nucleotides) under uncultured bacterium. RNAcentral describes it as "bacterial SSU rRNA". It matches the Rfam family "Bacterial small subunit ribosomal RNA", at positions 29 to 445 of the family's 1533-position model. The record is from RNAcentral.